GUCUCUUUGUAAUUUAUAAAUAAAGAGUCGGGCCUGCUCGGUGAAUAAAUUGUUUUAACAGCUGCGGUAUUUUAACUGUACUAAGGUAGCAUAAUAAUUUGCCUUAUAAUUUGAGGCUAGAAUGAAUGGUUUGACGAAGGUUAAUCUGUCUCUAUCCUAUUUGGUAGAAUUUAAUUUUUAAAGUGAAAAAGCUUAAAUUUUUUAAAGGGACGAGAAGACCCUAUUGAGCUUAUAAUUUUAUUAUUAUUUUGUUCUUUAUGUAUAAUAUAAUAUAUAAAUUUUAAUUGGGGUGAUUAAGGAAUAAGUAAUAUUAUUAAGUAACUUCCUUAGUUUAGAUAUUGUUAAAUAAAGUAACCAAUAUUAUUGCUUAUAAUAUAGUUACCAUAGGGAUAACAGCGUAAUUUAUUUAGAGAGUUCUUAUUGAAAAAUAAGAUUGCGACCUCGAUGUUGGAUUAAAGUAACCUUAAGGUGCAGAAGCUUUAGAAGGUAAAUCUGUUCGAUUUUUAAAACUUUACA
RNAcentral lists this ribosomal RNA (516 nucleotides) under Asperoteuthis acanthoderma. RNAcentral's name for it is "partial 16S ribosomal RNA". It matches the Rfam family "Bacterial large subunit ribosomal RNA", at positions 1817 to 2600 of the family's 2925-position model. The record is from RNAcentral. Lineage: Eukaryota; Metazoa; Mollusca; Cephalopoda; Oegopsida; Chiroteuthidae. RNAcentral also lists the same sequence under 1 other name.